GGAGGUAUAGCUCAAGUGGUAGAGUGGAUGCUUGGCAAGCAUGAGGUCCCGGGUUCAAUCCCCAGUACCUCCU
Molecule: transfer RNA, 73 nt
Filed under: Camelus bactrianus (Bactrian camel)
Lineage: Eukaryota; Metazoa; Chordata; Mammalia; Artiodactyla; Camelidae
Also listed under: 3 other names
Rfam family: tRNA
About the family: Transfer RNA (tRNA) molecules are approximately 80 nucleotides in length.
Source: Rfam by way of RNAcentral